CCUCUCUAAAUUAAUCCAGAUAAAAAAAAAAAAACCCCUUAUUUUAGCCCGUUCUGUAAAGAUGACAUAUAGAAUUAUUUUGUGCUCAUUCCAAGGCCUUUCUUCUCAUAUUAUAUAUACUAGACUGUUGGCCCCUGCGAACCAAUGGAUUCUUUUUGGUAAAUAAAAGGCUCAGACCACAUCCUUAUUCUACAACGAUAAAACAGGGGGUAGUGAAAUUUAUAGAAUUUCAGCUUCUCUGCAGUUUGCAUCUUGGCCAUGUGACUCUCUGCAAAUCUGCACCAAGCCAAUCUCUUAAGUGUUCUUCAAUAAUUUGAAGAUGGUACGAAUCAGUGCUGAGCCACUUUCAUUAGCAUUAACACCAUUAAGGAUGUUAACAACUUCCUCAUUAUCACAUUCCUAUACCCCAGGUUCCAAGCAAGCUGUUGGCCAUCCCCAUAGCUCCGGGGGUCUUACCCACCAGACCCCAAGUUCCUCUUGUAAUC
This 485-nucleotide long non-coding RNA is filed under the name Gossypium barbadense (sea-island cotton). Its description in RNAcentral is "long non-coding RNA (GBAR_LNC007512)". Lineage: Eukaryota; Viridiplantae; Streptophyta; Magnoliopsida; Malvales; Malvaceae. The record is from RNAcentral.